RNAcentral lists this unclassified non-coding RNA (325 nucleotides) under Leishmania donovani. RNAcentral describes it as "gene:unknown". The record is from RNAcentral. Lineage: Eukaryota; Euglenozoa; Kinetoplastea; Trypanosomatida; Trypanosomatidae.
GGGAACAUAGGGAUUAUUGCCGUGAACUCUUUUUUUUCCAGACCACAACGCUGCGGAUGAGCUGCUGAAGCGGGUCGAUGAUAUCGAGUGGACAGUUUAUCACAAUGACACAUUUCUAUCCAAAUAGCUUGCUUUUCAGAUGGGUAAAUGUGGCUUCGCGUGUUGACAGAUAUUGAAUAGCAUGCCGAGAAAGCUGAUGAAAGCAGCUGUGGAUGCGGUGGAAGUGAUGGACUGUUCUGGAAUCGCUUUUCGUUGGACUGGAAAAUCAAUUUCCGUAAACAUCUUCAGAAGCUGCCGCAAAGCCGAUCCCACUGAACUUUUUUCC